Molecule: transfer RNA, 73 nt
Filed under: Trichonephila clavata
Lineage: Eukaryota; Metazoa; Arthropoda; Arachnida; Araneae; Nephilidae
Rfam family: tRNA
About the family: Transfer RNA (tRNA) molecules are approximately 80 nucleotides in length. Their secondary structure includes four short double-helical elements and three loops (D, anti-codon, and T loops).
Source: Rfam by way of RNAcentral
GUCCAUGUAGCGCAAUGGAUAGCGCGUUAGACUUCUAAUCUAAAGGUCGUGAGUUUGAAUUCCACCUGGGAUA